This 497-nucleotide ribosomal RNA is filed under the name uncultured bacterium. RNAcentral describes it as "partial 16S ribosomal RNA". It matches the Rfam family "Bacterial small subunit ribosomal RNA", at positions 28 to 507 of the family's 1533-position model. The record is from RNAcentral.
GAUGAACGCUGGCGGCGUGCCUAAUACAUGCAAGUCGAGCGAACGGACGAGAAGCUUGCUUCUCUGAUGUUAGCGGCGGACGGGUGAGUAACACGUGGAUAACCUACCUAUAAGACUGGGAUAACUUCGGGAAACCGUAGCUAAUACCGGAUAAUAUUUUGAACCGCAUGGUUCAAAAGUGAAAGACGGUCUUGCUGUCACUUAUAGAUGGAUCCGCGCUGCAUUAGCUAGUUGGUAAGGUAACGGCUUACCAAGGCAACGAUGCAUAGCCGACCUGAGAGGGCGAUCGGCCACACUGGAACUGAGACACGGUCCAGACUCCUACGGGAGGCAGCAGUAGGGAAUCUUCCGCAAUGGGCGAAAGCCUGACGGAGCAACGCCGCGUGAGUGAUGAAGGUCUUCGGAUCGUAAAACUCUGUUAUUAGGGAAGAACAUAUGUGUAAGUAAUUGUGCACAUCUUGACGGUACCUAAUCAGAAAGCCACGGCUAACUACGUG